This 771-nucleotide long non-coding RNA is filed under the name Marmota monax (woodchuck). Lineage: Eukaryota; Metazoa; Chordata; Mammalia; Rodentia; Sciuridae. The record is from RNAcentral.
AAAAAUAUAUACUUUAAAGUUAACUUAAGUUUUCAUAAAUUUUUGUUUUCUUCUCUUAACAAGUUUUGUUGGCUUUAAUGUCUCUUGUCUUCUGUAUUUCUAAACUAUCAUUUCUGAGCUCUAACUAUACUGUCAGAACCUUCGAACUCAGUGUCUGUUACCUGCCCUGUAUGUACUCUUCAUUGACUAUCCUGUAAUUCUCAGUUUGUCUAUUGCAUAUCAGGAUGUUUCCAGUAAAAUAAAGAUUUAAUGUAUACAGUCAGUAAUUGUGUGUGAAAAGAAACUGUCUAGUACUAGAUAUUGAAUUUUAAAGAGGCUAAAGUAGAUUUAGACUAAUUUCCACUAGAGUAAUUUUAGUCUUCCCAUAAAUUUUCAGUGUAUAAAAUGCAGUUAGUUUGAUUGUUGUGUAUUUAUUGCUCCCUUUUCAACUGAUUUCCUUUCCCAGUCACUUCCAUAUUUUGGACAUGAGGGAUUUCUUAUAUUUUAAUCAAAGAAGAUUUUGAUGGUAAACUUCCUAUGAAAUUUGUGUAGAUGAAUACUUUGCACAUUCAGUUCUCUUAGGUAAAAAUGAAAAAGAGAAGAAAGACUAGAAUCAAAGUGAAGAAUUUUCUAGAAACAGCUAUAAAUUGUCUCUUAACUGCUGGAAUAUCUGGUAACUUCCCAUAUCUAACCAAAUACAUUGAUUUGGCAUUGCAGCCCUCAACCAAAUUCUACCACAUUCAUUAAGUGUUUGAGAAGUGGGAUUAAUAAUACUGUAAUAAAAUUUAUGUG